RNAcentral lists this ribosomal RNA (253 nucleotides) under uncultured bacterium. Its description in RNAcentral is "partial 16S ribosomal RNA". It matches the Rfam family "Bacterial small subunit ribosomal RNA", at positions 524 to 776 of the family's 1533-position model. The record is from RNAcentral.
UACGUAGGUGGCAAGCGUUGUCCGGAUUUACUGGGCGUAAAUAGCGCGCAGGCGGCUGAUUAAGUCCGAUGUGAAAUCUUCCGGCUCAACCGGGAAACUGCAUCGGAAACUGAUCGGCUUGAAGGUGGGAGAGGGUAGUGGAAUUCCCGGUGUAGUGGUGAAAUGCGUAGAUAUCGGGAGGAACACCAGUGGCGAAGGCGACUACCUGGCCCAUUCUUGACGCUGAGGCGCGAAAGCUAGGGGAGCGAACGGG